CAACCCUGAAUUCAAACAAAACAAGAACUGGUCCUCGGUGGGCGUCUGCAUCGCUGUCAUGUCGAGCUGAACACAUCCUAUUUGAAGAAGAUGACAACUAAGAGGCUCAAGAUGAUGGAGCUGACACAUCCAGAGAGUGCAGGCUGUGAUGUUCCCAUACUGCAGCUUGAAUUUUUGCCACACUAUCAGUGUACGGCUGCCUUUUGAGCAUAAUGGAAGUGUGACUUCACACACACAGUUGCGUCUCUUGUCCAUGCAGGAGGGACAAAGGGGCACAUGUUCAUAAUUCAAUAGUUGAAAUGAUGGCGAUCUUCAACCUGUUGGUGCAUCAGUGGGCACAGGUGA
Xiphias gladius (swordfish) is the source of this 345-nucleotide long non-coding RNA. RefSeq lists it as uncharacterized. NCBI's taxonomy places the organism in Eukaryota, Metazoa, Chordata, Actinopteri, Istiophoriformes, Xiphiidae. The record is from RefSeq and is a predicted model, not a curated record. The transcript has 3 exons.